Molecule: ribosomal RNA, 255 nt
Filed under: uncultured bacterium
Lineage: Bacteria
Description: partial 16S ribosomal RNA
Rfam family: Bacterial small subunit ribosomal RNA
Source: RNAcentral
UACGAAGGGGGCUAGCGUUGCUCGGAAUCACUGGGCGUAAAGGGUGCGUAGGCGGGUCUUUAAGUCAGGGGUGAAAUCCUGGAGCUCAACUCCAGAACUGCCUUUGAUACUGAGGAUCUUGAGUCCGGGAGAGGUGAGUGGAACUGCGAGUGUAGAGGUGAAAUUCGUAGAUAUUCGCAAGAACACCAGUGGCGAAGGCGGCUCACUGGCCCGGUACUGACGCUGAGGUGCGAAAAGCGUGGGGGAGCAAACAGG